Artibeus jamaicensis (Jamaican fruit-eating bat) is the source of this 85-nucleotide small nucleolar RNA. NCBI's taxonomy places the organism in Eukaryota, Metazoa, Chordata, Mammalia, Chiroptera, Phyllostomidae. The record is from RefSeq and is a predicted model, not a curated record.
UCUCAGUGAUUCGUUUCCAGUACAGCCUCUGACCCUCUGAUGUGGACUCGGUGCCAGGGAGAUGAAGAGGAAAGCGCCCGAGAGA